Molecule: ribosomal RNA, 468 nt
Filed under: uncultured bacterium
Lineage: Bacteria
Description: partial 16S ribosomal RNA
Rfam family: Bacterial small subunit ribosomal RNA
Source: RNAcentral
GACGAACGCUGGCGGCGUGCUUAACACAUGCAAGUCGAACGGAAAGGCCCUGCUUUUGUUGGGUUCUCGAGUGGCGAACGGGUGAGUAACACGUGAGUAACCUGCCCUUGACUUUGGGAUAACUUCAGGAAACUGGGGCUAAUAUCCGAUAUGAUCUCCUGCUGCAUGGUGGGGGUUGGAAAGUUUCGGCGGUUGUGGAUGGACUCGCGGCUUAUCAGCUUGUUUGUGUGGUAGUGGCUUACCAAGGCUUUGACGGGUAGCCGGCCUGAGAGGGUGACCGGCCACAUUGGGACUGAGAUACGGACCAGAAUGCUACGGGAGGCAGCAGUGGGGAAUCUUGCACAAUGGGCGGAAGCCUGAUGCAGAAACGCCGCGUGCGGGAUGACGGCCUUCGGGUUGUAAACCGCUUUCGCAGGUGACGAAGCGUGAGUGACGGUAAUGGGUAAAGAAGCAACGGCUAACUACGUG